CAGCAGCCGCGGUAAGACGGAGGGUGCUAGCGUUGUUCGGAAUCACUGGGCGUAAAGGGCGCGUAGGCGGCCUGUUAAGUCGGAUGUGAAAGCCCGGGGCUCAACCCCGGAACUGCAUCCGAGACUGGCAGGCUUGAGACCGGGAGAGGAGGGUGGAAUAUCCAGUGUAGAGGUGAAAUUCGUAGAUAUUGGAUGGAACACCGGUGGCGAAAGCGGCUCUCUGGCCCGGAUCUGACGCUGAGGCGCGAAAGCGUGGGGAGCAAACAGGAUUAGAUACCCGAGUAGUCCCUGUCUCUUAUAU
This 301-nucleotide ribosomal RNA is filed under the name uncultured bacterium. Its description in RNAcentral is "partial 16S ribosomal RNA". It matches the Rfam family "Bacterial small subunit ribosomal RNA", at positions 509 to 809 of the family's 1533-position model. The record is from RNAcentral.